UUUCUUCAAGCCUCAGCCCCUUCUAAAUCAUUCAAGCUUCUAUCUUCCAACUUCAAGCUUUUCUAACCAACACUCAUUUAUUGACAUAAAUUAAAUGCAUGUACCAAACAUAGCAAAUCAGAAUUUGGGGUUAAGGAUUAUGAUUUUGGUCAUAGCAAGAAAAAGGAAGAAUAGAGUAGCUUACUAUUUCUCACCUUGAGUUUCCACCAUCCAUACCCUAUUGAUUGUGAAAAUCAACACAUGCAGCUAAGAAUUAAAAGUGGAAAUGGAAGCUCGGAGUGAGAGAGAUUCUGGCGUGAGAACAAGAGAGAGUUUGAGGGAAGUUUGUUGCUUUUCCUACUUUGUGAAGUUUAAGAAGAUGAAUGGGUUGUUGUUGUUGUCUUGCGUGUGAGAGAAAGAAGAGAUUUGCUGAGUAGUUGUCCUAACCUUGUGAAAGAGGGAAGUGUAUGAGUGGGUUUGGAUCUUGACUUCUGGUUUAAUGAGCGUGAGAGAGAGAGGGAGAUACAAGAAAGGUCAUUUUCUUUACUAAAA
RNAcentral lists this long non-coding RNA (531 nucleotides) under Trifolium pratense (red clover). RNAcentral's name for it is "long non-coding RNA (TPRA_LNC003603)". Lineage: Eukaryota; Viridiplantae; Streptophyta; Magnoliopsida; Fabales; Fabaceae. The record is from RNAcentral.